AGGAAUGAGAAGUCGUAACAAGGUUUCCGUAGUUUAACCUAAGGAAGGAUCAUUG
This 55-nucleotide ribosomal RNA is filed under the name Acaena argentea. RNAcentral's name for it is "partial 18S ribosomal RNA". Lineage: Eukaryota; Viridiplantae; Streptophyta; Magnoliopsida; Rosales; Rosaceae. RNAcentral also lists the same sequence under 1 other name. The record is from RNAcentral.